AUGCCGACGACUAUUUUCCACUUAAUUAAUAAGUGAAGGGGAGAGGGAAGCGAGGCUUAGCGAGUGAUUUUAAUUUGACUCUAUAGGUAGGUAUCGGCGGGGCUUGCGUAAUGUAGUUGUAGUUAAGGCUGAAGUAGCGCUUUUUAUUUUAGAAGAUCUACUGAAGUACCAAAGGCGAACGGGGCUCCCAGGCCGGGACGUCUGGCAGAAUGCUUGGCCUCCUGCGCUGGAAGCGAGACCCGAAGGGUGAGCUUAUGGCGGUUAGCUUCUUAAAUAAUAGGCAUUAGGCAUUCUGAGCUGAAAGGAGGCAAGCAAAUGAAGGGAGGCAUUACGGGCCGACUACAAGAAAAGCAAAGCUUCGUAGACUCGGUCAAGUCGCUUAUAGAAUGCCGACGACUAUUUUCCACUUAAUUAAUAAGUGAAGGGGAGA
RNAcentral lists this long non-coding RNA (430 nucleotides) under Nicotiana benthamiana. RNAcentral describes it as "long non-coding RNA (NBEN_LNC031841)". The record is from RNAcentral. Lineage: Eukaryota; Viridiplantae; Streptophyta; Magnoliopsida; Solanales; Solanaceae.